GGGGACGAUUUUGGUUUCGACUGUAAUGACGAUGGUAUGGUUGCAUGCCGAGUGUGCUGUCAACUCGUUAAAAAUGGCAGACCUAACGUAAGUGCAGACAAUAAUCUAGCACUGGCAGCUUAGUAACCUGCCACGCCUUCAGACUGCCUGCUCCUCUGGGGUGAUUGAAGGCGUCAUAUACAGGGGAUAGCCCAAUUUCACGUUCUCGGGAUGAGGGCGAAACAACAGGGAACUCGAAUGUUUCUAACGGUGCCUGUUCCCGGUGGGACAUUUUAAAAACAAACGAACAGGACAAGCAUGUAGAUGCCGUAUGGUCGUGUUGCAGGACGCGGGUUCGACUCCCGCCGUCUCCACAU
This 356-nucleotide transfer-messenger RNA is filed under the name Chrysiogenales bacterium. It matches the Rfam family "transfer-messenger RNA". From Rfam's summary of the family: Bacterial tmRNA, also known as 10Sa RNA or SsrA, is named for its dual tRNA and mRNA-like properties. Its role is to liberate the mRNA from a stalled ribosome. To accomplish this part of the tmRNA is used as a reading frame that ends in a translation stop signal. The record is from RNAcentral. Lineage: Bacteria; Pseudomonadati; Chrysiogenota; Chrysiogenia; Chrysiogenales.